CACCAAAGAAGAAGAAGAAGAAGAUCUUCCGCUGUCACCCCUACUGAGCUCUCGCUGAACCGUGAGUGACCUUCUCCGAGUGGUCCAGUGCACUUAUAUACUAGAGAUGGCAGGUGGUGCAUUCGCUGGCUGGUGGACUAAGGUGGCCCCCUACUACACCAAAGCAUACCAGGAGAUGUGGGUUGGUGUAGGAAUCAUGACUUUCAUGUACUACAAACUUUCAUAUGGAGGAAAGAAGAAAGCAGUGCAGUCAAAGCCUGCCCACUGAUUGGACCACCGGAGCAUCAUUCCCCAUGUCCUCUCUGUAAAUCUUCCCCUGAAUAUCUGUAUUUUGCUUUAUGUAACCAAUAAACCGCUUGAUUUGGAUCACACUAUAGACAAUUCACUGCUUUGUGGUCUUUCACUCUGUCUUUUGCAGGAAAUUCAUAUCAGCAGACAUGAAACUGUUUGGUUGUUAACUUAUGGAAUAAAACUAUUAAAGAA
Molecule: long non-coding RNA, 483 nt
Organism: Sinocyclocheilus anshuiensis
Lineage: Eukaryota; Metazoa; Chordata; Actinopteri; Cypriniformes; Cyprinidae
Exons: 4
Source: RefSeq, a predicted model, not a curated record